This is a long non-coding RNA of Lemur catta (Ring-tailed lemur), 409 nucleotides long. RefSeq lists it as uncharacterized. The transcript has 3 exons. The record is from RefSeq and is a predicted model, not a curated record. Lineage: Eukaryota; Metazoa; Chordata; Mammalia; Primates; Lemuridae.
UGGAAAAGUACUGGCCACUGCUUUGAUGUCACUGGGGUGCUGCCUUCUGUUUUGAGUUUUUCAAAAUCCAAAGAUGGAACACGGGAAGAGGAAGUCUGGACCGAGGGGGAAGAUCAGGGAGAGGGAGCAGAUGGCCAUCACAAGCCGAGGAGAGAGGACUCAGAAGAAACCAACAUGCCAACCCCUUGAUCUUGGACUUCCAGCCUCUAGAACUAUGGCGAUAGGAUUUCGGGAAUGCACUAAAGUGACAUAGAACUCUUCUGGAAUCUCCGUGACAGUGGGAAUUUUGUAGUCAUCUGGACUGCGAGAGUAAAGCACACCUUCUGGGGAAUAUUUCAGUUCUUCUGUGGUAUAUAAUCCCAUGCCUUGGAUAAAUGCUCCCUCAAUCUGCAGCCAAAAAGUUCACAGG